GACGAACGCUGGCGGCGUGCCUAAUACAUGCAAGUCGAACGCUUUUUCUUUCACCGGAGCUUGCUCCACCGAAAGAAAAAGAGUGGCGAACGGGUGAGUAACACGUGGGUAACCUGCCCAUCAGAAGGGGAUAACACUUGGAAACAGGUGCUAAUACCGUAUAACACUAUUUUCCGCAUGGAAGAAAGUUGAAAGGCGCUUUUGCGUCACUGAUGGAUGGACCCGCGGUGCAUUAGCUAGUUGGUGAGGUAACGGCUCACCAAGGCAACGAUGCAUAGCCGACCUGAGAGGGUGAUCGGCCACACUGGGACUGAGACACGGCCCAGACUCCUACGGGAGGCAGCAGUAGGGAAUCUUCGGCAAUGGACGAAAGUCUGACCGAGCAACGCCGCGUGAGUGAAGAAGGUUUUCGGAUCGUAAAACUCUGUUGUUAGAGAAGAACAAGGAUGAGAGUAAAACGUUCAUCCCUU
This 470-nucleotide ribosomal RNA is filed under the name Enterococcus casseliflavus. RNAcentral's name for it is "bacterial SSU rRNA". It matches the Rfam family "Bacterial small subunit ribosomal RNA", at positions 28 to 470 of the family's 1533-position model. Lineage: Bacteria; Bacillati; Bacillota; Bacilli; Lactobacillales; Enterococcaceae. The record is from RNAcentral.